AUUGAACGCUGGCGGCAGGCCUAACACAUGCAAGUCGAACGAGUGGCGGACGGGUGAGUAAUGUCUGGGAAACUGCCCGAUGGAGGGGGAUAACUACUGGAAACGGUAGCUAAUACCGCAUACCAUCGGAUGUGCCCAGAUGGGAUUAGCUAGAAGGUGGGGUAACGGCUCACCUAGGCGACGAUCCCUAGCGGGUCUGGGAGGAUGACCAUCCACACUGGAACUGGGACACGGUCCGGACGCCUGCGGGAGGCAGGAGUGGGGAAUAUUGCACAAUGGGGGGAGCCCUGAUGCAGCAACGCCGCGUGCGGGAGGACGGCCUUCGGGUUGUAAGCCUCUUUCAGCCAUGACGCGGUAGUGGCAGAAGAAGCACCGGCUAACUACGUGCCAGCAGCCGCGGUAAUUC
This 406-nucleotide ribosomal RNA is filed under the name uncultured bacterium. Its description in RNAcentral is "partial 16S ribosomal RNA". It matches the Rfam family "Bacterial small subunit ribosomal RNA", at positions 29 to 526 of the family's 1533-position model. The record is from RNAcentral.